GGUGAUCCUAUGCUGCCAAGAAAAUCCUCUAGCGAGGUUCGAGCCGCCCGUACCCCAAACCGACUCAGGUGGUUAGGUAGAGAAUACCAAGGCGAUCGAGUGAAUCGUGGUUAAGGAAUUCGGCAAAAUACCCCCGUAACUUCGGGAGAAGGGGGGCCCAGAGGGUGACGGGACUUGCUCCCCGAGCCUGAACGGCCGCAGAGACCAGGGAGAAGCGACUGUUUACUAAAAACACAGGUCCGUGCCAAGUCGCAAGACGAUGUAUACGGACUGACGCCUGCCCGGUGCUGGAACGUUAAGGGGACCGGUUAGCCUCACGGCGAAGCUGAGAACUUAAGCGCCAGUAAACGGCGGUGGUAACUAUAACCAUCCUAAGGUAGCGAAAUUCCUUGUCGGGUAAGUUCCGACCUGCACGAAUGGCGUAACGAUUUCUCCACUGUCUCAACCACGAACUCGGCGAAAUUGCACUACGAGUAAAGAUGCUCGUUACGCGCAGAAGGACGGAAAGACCCCGGGACCUUUACUACAGCUUGGUAUUGGUGUUCGGUACGGCUUGUGUAGGAUAGGUGGGAGACUGAGAAGCUGACACGCCAGUGUCGGUGGAGUCAACGUUGAAAUACCACUCUGGUCGUUCUGGAUAUCUAACCUAGGUCCGUGAUCCGGAUCAGGGACAGUGCCUGGUGGGUAGUUUAACUGGGGCGGUUGCCUCCUAAAAGGUAACGGAGGCGCCCAAAGGUUCCCUCAGCCUGGUUGGCAAUCAGGUUUUGAGUGUAAGUGCACAAGGGAGCUUGACUGUGAGACUGACAAGUCGAACAGGGACGAAAGUCGGGACUAGUGAUCCGGCGGUGGCUUGUGGAAGCGCCGUCGCUCAACGGAUAAAAGGUACCCCGGGGAUAACAGGCUGAUCUUGCCCAAGAGUCCAUAUCGACGGCAUGGUUUGGCACCUCGAUGUCGGCUCGUCGCAUCCUGGGGCUGGAGUAGGUCCCAAGGGUUGGGCUGUUCGCCCAUUAAAGCGGUACGCGAGCUGGGUUUAGAACGUCGUGAGACAGUUCGGUCCCUAUCCUCUGCGCGCGCAGGAAACUUGAGAAGGGCUGUCCCUAGUACGAGAGGACCGGGAUGGACGAACCUCUGGUGUGUCAGUUGUUCUGCCAAGAGCACCGCUGAUUAGCUACGUUCGGGAGUGAUAACCGCUGAGAGCAUCUAAGCGGGAAGCAUGCUUCAAGAUGAGGUUUCCAUGGGGUUUACCCCGAGAGGCUCCCAGCUAGACUACUGGGUUGAUAGGCCGGAUGUGGAAGUGCGGUAACGCAUGGAGCUGACCGGUACUAAUAAGCCGAUAACUUGACUC
RNAcentral lists this ribosomal RNA (1345 nucleotides) under metagenome. RNAcentral's name for it is "bacterial LSU rRNA". It matches the Rfam family "Bacterial large subunit ribosomal RNA", at positions 1593 to 2925 of the family's 2925-position model. The record is from RNAcentral.